UUUUUCUUAAAAAAGCACCUUUGCUUUUGCCGCAAAGGCAAAAGUCAGGGCAAAAGUAAAAA
This 62-nucleotide transfer RNA is filed under the name Ulva sp. A AF-2021. RNAcentral describes it as "tRNA-Leu". The record is from RNAcentral. Lineage: Eukaryota; Viridiplantae; Chlorophyta; Ulvophyceae; Ulvales; Ulvaceae.